CCGAGCGGGGUCGGCGGAGCGGGCGGGGGGCCCGGGCCAGGCAAGCCGAUGCUGUCACAUCGCUGAAAACACGCGGUGUGUGAACCCCUGCUGGUUUUUUCUUUCUUCAAAUUCAGAAGACGAUCGAUUUGUUUACCUGUUUAGUGCAGUUCCGGUGUGUUACGAAUGCUGCGGUGUUACCGUCCACUUCAUCUCAAAUACUCGCGUUUUAUGAGGUAAAAAGCAGCCUGAGACGGGCCCCAGAUCGAGGCUGAGUGACAACAGUCUCGAUGCUUAAUCUGGACAUGCAUUAUUAGUUUGGUUUCUUCUGUGCAAAUACAUUUAAUGUUCUUGUGGCUAUGUUUUAGUAUGUGUUAGAGGUAUUUUUAAUGAUGCUGUGGUAGCUUGUCAGUCUGAUUUCUAGAUGUAGGGGAAAAAAAGUAUAAACUUAAAUUGCUAUGUAUGGAACCAAAGUCUCAUGUUCCAGCUAAGAGUGUCUGACACAGUCCAUUACCCUUUGUCACAUCUCAGCAAUUCUUCCCAAAUUCUGCCCUGGUGGCUGUCUGUCCCAAGCUAGUUGGCUUGUUGAUUGAUUGAUGGAAGAGCACUAACAGGAAUAUUGAGAUAAAGGAGAGAUGACUACUUGUGUCCAAACUUAGGGCUAUUAAUUGUUCAUAGUGCCAUAUAGUAGGGUUGUAGUGUGAUGUAGUUAGUCCUGUUUGCUGUUUCUCGAUACUUGCCUUGAAAGCAGCCCGUUAUGGUCAAAUUAUAUUUUUGAAAAACCUUUGGCAUAUGUAUGCUUCCUAGGGUAUGUCAGGAAAAUAUUGUCAAGACUUCCUGCUUUGGAAAUUUUUUGGUCUUUGAAGAACGGUUUUUGUGACAGCUUUUGGCAGAUGGCUAUCAAAAAUGUGAGUAGACAAGCUGUGACUCCUUUAUGCUUGAUGUUUUGCAAGAGCUGGAGAGAAAGACUAGCAAGGAGAAGGUAGGAGCAACAGUGGUUGACUGCCUGCAGGUGCCUCAACAAUUGUGGAUUUGCAGUCUCACAGUUUAAUGUACAUAAAAGAACUCAUGAGAAGAAACCCACUGAAAUGCCAGAGCCACAGGAAAGUCUUGAACCAAUGCUUGUACUUUUGAGGCCCAAAAUCAUUAUGAAAACUUGCAGGAAAUUUGGAUUUGUUGUUUUAGUUCUCUUGAGACUUUUUAUUUUCCAUGGGUGUGAAAUUUGAGCAUAAGUGCGUCACCAUGACUGCACUUGUCUGACAGUUCUUAACUAUUGAUAAAAGCCACUGGAAGUUUUAGUAAGCUGUUACAGCUUUCAUGAAUGCUAAGUUCUUACAGGUAUCAUGAAAGUAACCACCAGAAAGGAGGAAAGAUUCCUUGCAGCAUAGUUUGGAGGAGAAUGGUCUGAAGAGCUUGACCUUUUCUGUUUCUGUUAUUUGCACAGCUGCUGGUGAAACUGUGUCUCGGUGUUGCAAUAAAAGGGCAUAAGCUCACUUAGUCGAGCACUUAGAUAUUAGCAGAUGCAUGUAAUGUUUUUUUGUCCCCCCAUGUAGUCUGGAAAUUGGCUUACUUUGGACUAUUUCUUCGCUUUGAUUCUUGUCUUAUCCUUCUCUUGUCUUCUGUUUUAAUUUUUUUGUUUGUUUUUUAUAUCCCUCUCUCCACAGUUCCUCUGUGGAAUUCCGUAUUCUGGAUUAGAUGUGACAUGAUAGUUAUUUGUGAUACUGGUCCUGCAUUUGUUAUAGAAACGAUGCAUGAAGAGUUAUCUUAUAUUAAUAUUAGCAUAUAGAAUCACAGCAUGGGUUGGGUUGGAAGGGACCUUAAAGAUAAUCUCGUUCCAAACCCUUGCCAAGGGCAAGGAUGCCACUCACUAGAUCAGGUUUCUCAGAGCCCCAUCCACCUGGCCUUGGAUGCUUCCAGGGAUGGGGCAUCCACAAUCUCUUCUUGCUUUAUGUUGUCUCCUUUCUUCUGUAUGUCCUUCCUUCUCUGUAUCCUUAUUUGUAAUUUUUGUUUCCGAACAUAAUCCCUAGAGGGCAGCAAAGUAACCAGUGCAUUAAGGAGGUGCAAAUUGGGCCAGUUUAAAAAUUCUCUCGAUGAGCCUAUCAGUUUUUCAUUCUUGGAGAUAAUGCUUUCUCCUUAAAACGUAUUUCCCAAGUCAUAGUUUCAGGGGGAAAGUGUGUGUUUGUGCGGGAGGGCAGGGAUCCUUGGAGUACAAAGUGGACUGCAACAGAGAGGAAGGAAAUUAGGGAGUGGACAAGUUGCAGACAAGGAAGGUGAAGCAGUUGCUUCUUCCCUUUUAGUGAAAUUGCUGAAAAGUAGAAACAGAAGUGCAAAAGGAAACAGCUUUCCCUAUCCUUUAAUUAACUCAGCUUAAGACCUACGUGUCUUCUGAGGAUGCUCCACAUAGGGUUGAGGCCUCUUGCAAUUUUUGUUAGUGUGGGUUCUUUUGCUAGUGUGGAAUUCAGUGCUUAAAACCAGACUCAGACUGGACUCCUGCAUAUUAUUACCUUACAGUGGGGGUUAAUUGACAGUGUAAACUAUUGAGUGGUGAGCUAGGGGAGAGUAAAGACUGUUUAUUCAGAAGAAACUAAAUUCUUAAAACUAGGUUUUAAUCAUUUAGGAUGGAAAUUGCCUCUAAAAUUGAGUCCAACCAUUAACCUAGCACUGCCGAGUCCAUCACUAAACCACACCCCUAUUUGCCACAUCCAUGCUUCUUUUAAAUACCGCCAGGGAUGGUGACUCCACUGCUUCCCUGGGCAGCCUGUUGCAAUGCUUGAUGUCUCUUUUCUGUGAAGGAAGUUUUCCACAUAUCCAAUCUAAACCUCUCCUGGUGCAACCUGAGGCUGUUUCCUCUCAUCCUAUCUAUCAUUACCUGUGAGAAGAGACCAGUGCCCCUUGCUGCAGCCUCCUUUCAGGCAGUUGUAUACAGCCAUGUAUAUUCCCCUCAGCUUCCUUCCCCGGGUAAACAACCCCAGCCCAUUCAGCUGCUUCUCAUAAAAUUAAUGCUCCGGACCCUUCACCAGCUUUGUUGCUCUUUGGUUGCUCUUUAGCACCUCUUUUAUGCUAUGCCCAUCUCACCUAUGAACUCAUUGCAUUUUAGGUCAAGGAAAGCAUUGCAGGUCGCAUGUUUGGCCUUUUUUAUCUUACGGUGACAGUUUCAUGCUUUCAGUUUUUUUGGAAGGAGCGCUUUGACAAUUUCCUGUCUUGGGAAUGUUGCUUUACAUUUAAAAUCUCUGUCUUUAAAUAUUUUUAGAAACAGGUCAACAGAUUUGUGAUGCUUCUCCAGAAAAAACUGUAGAUGGAUGAUGUGUGUUGUGUGAAACCCAAAGCAAAUAGGAUGACCGUGGCAACCUUUUAGCAAUAUCCAGCCUGGAAACUUGUGCUUUAAUGUGAAGGAUUGUAAUUGUUCCAUAACGAAAAGUAAGCUCUUUGUCGUCAUAAACACAUUAAGAAAAGCAUGCCUGGGAUCAAGGUAAUUUCAGAUAAAUUGCACUGCUUGGGGACUGUUCACACCUCUGCUGGAAAAUAUAUAGGUGUCAUCUGUCAAGUACUGUGUUUCUUUUAUAUUAAACACAUCUAGGCCUGCUGGGUGGUAAGUGGGAGGUGUAGGGUAGACAGGGUGAGAUUUAAUAGUUCUUUUAUAUUGAUGGUUGUUGCUGUGUUUCAUUCAGCAUUCUUGAAUUUUCCAAAGACUUCAUGUUUUAGUGGAACCAAUGGAAGAUGGCAGAUUUUCUACAGCUCUAGAAAAUCAGGUCUUCAGUUGCAGGCUGGCACUUAUUAUUAUUUUUGAAUUCUAUUCUUAAUGCUCUAAGUUAAAAAUUAGUAAAAAAAUUGUUCUAAAACUGGCCAUUAAAAUGCAACAAAAAGCAUUUGCUAACUGCCUUUCUACUGUCAAUAUCCCCCAACUGAGAUUUUUUCCUUUGUUUUCUUUCUUUUUGUAGUGCUGCCUUCCAGUCAUGGGUUUCAAGAGUUACCUGCUUUCCAGAUCUGAAUGGAAUUCUUCUGCAUCAGGACAGUUGGUAACUUAUUCUUGGGAGAUGGAAAAAGUUGCAGUUCCUUUGAGAAGUCUAAGGACUUCAGCAGUUGUAGACGCUUUUUCCUAUUAAAAUGCCUGUCACCAGGUAUCAUAUCAUGCCCCUCUGGAACCUUUGCCAAAAUUUGAGACUCAGACUGUGUUAUACAGUGUUAGUGGUAGAUGCAUUGCAUGGAGUGGCAAUGUUAGGACUUGGCACUCUGCUAAAAAUAGUAUUUUGAGAUAAAUUAUUUGUUGCACUGUAGGAAGGCUUGUUCAUGAGUGAGCAUAAUGGGUCAGUGCUGACAUCCAUCUUGCUCCCACUGCAUUGAUCCUGAGAGUUCUACAGAGGAACUGAUUUGGAGGUGGUGCCAUAAUCUCCAUUUUCUGUUGGCAAGAAGCCUAUUCUUGGUAUUCUAAAGAUUUUUUUACUCUGAAGUGUAAAGCUUGUUAUCUUUAAAAAAAUAAAUUCUUAUUCCUAUGGAUGUGUUAGGAGAACUUCUGUUCCACCUUUACAUAUUUGUAGACUUGUUUUAGUGACUUUCUACAGGUGAAUUUUACUGACACUGUAUGAUUAUAUUUUUUUGCUUAAGAAGAAAUUAUUUUCUCUUUUUCUUGACUGGAGGGAAAGGUGUUCCUGCUCAGCCCUUUCAGUAUCAUUGUUUCAUUUCUCUUCAAUUAAUCUAAAUAUCUGGUGAGCUGUACUGUUUGCAAAGAGAAAAGAGGUUUUCUGUCAGGUUGAUUAUGAUGACACACUAUGGGAAAAGCCUGAGUGUAGCUGACAAUACUGAAUUACAUAGGCAACUCAGUUCAACAGGUCAUUUCAGAAAAUCAGUUUACAGAUAUCAUUCAACCACUUAUAUUUUUGCAUACCCUCCUUAAAAGAAAUUUUGGUAAUAGCUGACAGUAUGUCUUCAAAUCAGAGCAUUGACAUUCAGUAUUGUCAGUGAAGAUUCUCAGACUGUGGAUGCAUAUCUUGUAUACAUGGCUGAAAUGGUAGCAUCUCUUUACAAAUAAUUUGGGUUAAGGGCCAGUUGUUUUCCCACAGAAGGGAAAAAAUAUACUGUAUUUGUUCUGGUAAGCUGGUGUGCUUUUACUUUGUUCUGUUUCACUUGUGCAUAGUUACCUAAACUACUUUUCAUAGGACUGUUCAACCGAUAUCCAAGAUCAGCUAAUUGAUACUUAAAGCUGUUGGACUUAUGUAAGAAAUGUAGUUUGGUUCUCCUGCAUGGUGUUUACAUUUUUGUGCAUUUGUUUGUUGUGGUUUGGGAGGGGUUUUGUUGGUUUUUUUAAAUGCAAAGCAAAGCAUGUGCUUUGAUUCCAGGCAGUUGGGGAAACUGUGCUAAACUUAGGCUUUACUCUUUCUUGUCAGGUUGUCUGUCACUGUGCUAACUUGAAGAGGUGAUCGUUUGCUGUGAGUUAAUAAUGUUUAUGCUCUCUCCUAUGAAUCUCUCCUCUUUUUCCGUCUAUGAAGCAACGUCACAAAAGGAACACACUGUGCAAGACUUUCUCCUUACAGUUAAUAGUACCAAACACUCAUUUUGUUGAGAAAAAUGCUCUUUAAAACAUACUAGAAUAAUAAUAAUAAAAAAACCAAAAAGCUCUGCUAUGUUACCAUUGUUGUGUGUUUAAUCCUGAAAAAGAGAACUUUGCCCCAAACAGCUUACAGUUUGUUUGGGAUCCAGCCAGUGUACGUAACUGGAAAUUGAAUUUCCAAUUAGGAAAGGAAAAUGAAGGGAGAAUUAAGGAAACGUCAGUAGUACGUUAACAUGGACAAGUAAUGUAAAAUUACUGUAACCCUCUACUGCCCAUGUUUAAGAUACAGUGUUAUUGCAGGAGUAAUCUUGGGGGAUCUGAAAGAAUUAAAUGUUAAGAACUUUACUUGAGGAAGAUGAUGUAUUUUUACAUGUGGAAAAAAGGUGUAAGGAGUGGUGUAGUAACCAGUAAUGGCAGCUUUUUUUGCUGUAUGUCUUGGGCCUUAGAUUGUCAGAAUAUUUCAUGCUGUAGCAUAUUGGCACUUUCUGCUAAAUUGUGUCCACUAUACCUUUCCUACCUGGCUUCUUGUGGUGUAAGGGUGGGGGGAAGGAGGCAGGUGUAAAGUGGAAAAUAACGCUGUCUAGGAUCAAAAGAGGGUCCCUGAUGUAUUGCAAGAGUUUGUGUUUCUGCUUUCUAUUUUCUUGUUUCUGUAGAAAAAUAUACACCGUUUCUUAGAAGUCCCUGUGUUAUGAAGCUGUGUUGGAUUUUGAAGGAGUACAAAUGGUUCUCUUAAAAGUAUCCUGUUAUAAAAGCCCAGCAGCUCGACAGCAAACAAAUCGAUGUGUCUGCAUCUGGAUCUUCAAGUUGUAUUAUACAAUGUUUCCAGGAAUUAUGUUCUCUCUUCUCCUGUCUGAGGCAGAUAUGACUACAUAAAUAUAAAACUGAAAUCUGCAAUUUUGCAUUUGAGGGUAUGGAUCAGUACAUAAAGAGUCAAUCUACAGUAGAAAAAUUGUCCUUAGAAAGAAUGAGCUGUUCACAAAAUUUCUGCUGAAGUGUUUGUUAAACUGAGGAAAAACAAAAGCUCAUGCCUACACAACUUCAGGGUGAAAAUGUUGGGUACCACUAGGACCUUGCUAUUGUUGGUUUCCACACAGUUUUUAGAAAAAUACCCACUUAACUUCACUCUCAGACAGUGCUUUAAAUUCUCUUAUUGCUGGAGAUGAUGUUUUUACUUGCUCUUGUAUAGUUCAUUGUCUUUCAUUUAAAUUGCAUCCCUUUUAGUGAAGGUUGCUUUUAUCCUCAGUUAAAUUAAGCUAAUUAAAACUUGAAAUAUGUUAUAGUCUGGUAGCCUGUUAUGUGGUCCAUUUGUGUUAGACACAUGUUGUUCUAAAAAACCAAAAAGAUAACCCAGAUUUCAGAGUUACACUGAGCCCACAGCCACAGAUCUCUCCCUACAGAUACUGCAGAACUGCCAAGGGCGUUUUUGAUGUAUGGUGUUCUGCUGAUGUUUAUUGUGUAAACAUACGCUUCUAACUAGUGUGUUCCCACCCCAUCCACUCAUUCCCUAAUUUCACCUUCCCAUGUGCCACAUGCUGUAUUUUAGUUUGGUAGCUGCAGAUAGGUCUGGAUAUUCUAAAAUAAUGUUCUGAUACUUCUCUGUACUGUGUGACUUCACAUAGAAGAUUUUGUAUUAAUUAACUGAAUUAACUGGUAGCUGUCUUUCCUUCACAAUAAUAGAUGGAAGCAAAAAAAAAAAAAAAAAAAAAAAAGAAGAAUGCUGUUCUACUUGUAUUGUAAAAGAAAUUAACCAAAAUUGAAAAAGGCAAGCUUCUCCCCCAGCAAGUAUGCAAGUAUUUAUGAGUGUUACUAGGUAUGAAUGUGAGUCCAGUUCUGAUAAAGACUGUGGAAAAAACUGCUUUUAAAAUAUGAUGAAAUUUAGAAAAUUAGUAAUUUUUUCCUCAGUGCAAUUGCUGGAGAUAGCAGUAAGACAAUAGUUAGAAUGAGCAAGUUAGUUUGUUAUCACUUUAUUUAAAUUUUAAAUGAAAAAGAGAAAAAAAAGGUGGUACUAAGCUAGUUACAAAAUCUGCCCCCCUUUGCCCCCCUCUCUCCUUCCCAGAUGUAUGCUCCACAGUUGUUUGGCUAUUUCUGCUUUUCCCUCCCACUGUCAAAGAAUGCAACAAAGUUAUGUCUAUGUAGAAAGCAAAUACUGUGAGUAAUGAUGCCUGUUGACAUUACUAAGUGGGAAAUAUGUCAUGAGAUGCUAAACUCAGGAAAAAUAUUAAAGUGAGAAGAGCUUAACCUGUUCUUUUUCCUUCUCUAUUCUAGGGGCUUGUUUUGGAGUAGAGGUUGAUUUCUGGCUGUUGAUAAACCGUCCAUAACUGGAAAAAGUACAAGGAGCUGGUAUGGUAUUCUUAAGGUAAGAAACAUUAUAGAAUAUGUGACUUCAGAGCAGGAAUUCUGAGUGAAUGUAAGGCAAAACCUAUAAAAUAUAAGCUCUGUGCAAGAAACUUACUCACUAUGCUGAGGAUAGUUUUAUGUUGGGUACCCUUUAAGAUGUGUUUCUUGGAGAGGCUGCUGGGAAAGAAGCACUAGCAGUGUCUUUACCACACUCAGCCUCACAGGUAGAUGCUUCUCUCCAGAAAGGAAACAAUUCUAAGACUGUUGGGCUUUUAAAAUUUACUGAAGCGUUUAGGCUAUGUUAUAAUCUGGGGAGUCUGGUUCAGUGUUACUUGGGAAUUCUCUGUAUUAUUACAUUCUUGAAAAAUGCUGUAUAGUAGAAUACAAAUAAAAAAAGAGGACCUGCUAGCUAGCACAAGCAUAUUCCUAACUAGGAGUUAUUUUUCUGAAUCUGGGCCUAAACCAUGUAAUUUUCAGUUUUAUUCUUUGGGCAGCAUGUAAUGAAAACCUAGAAUGAAACGUGGCUUUAAAAAAUAUUGUUGUAUUGGAGACUACUAGACAACAGUUGAGAGAUAAAGAUGCAAUUAGUAACAAUACAGUAAUUCAGCCUGCUGAGCUCCUUGCUACUUUACAAAAAACAAUCACCCAAAGCUAUGGGUUCCUAGGCUUAAUGUGGACAGGGCAUGCAAAUAAAAUUAUUGGUUACAAUUACUUAGCAGGUCCCUGCAUUGUGUUAGAAUUCAAGCAAACUCCAUCUGAACUACUUAAUUUUGCCUUGUUUUAUAUUGAUUGAGAGACACACGAAAUAUGAGGCCAGUAAAAUACACAAUAGAAUUGUUAAUAAAAAAAAAAAUCCCACCAAGUCUGGAACCAAAGAAACAGUGGGUAUUUUCUAUUUCUUCUCUGAGUAACAGCACCAGUGGGUCGCUGCCUCUGCUCUCAUAGUAGCUGUUGUCCCAAACAGGAUGUGUGGGGAUGUUUUUUAUGUUGUGUUCUGGGAGUUUUAUUUUUUUGCCCUCCCUAAUUCUGGAAAUCCAGGAUGCUUCCUCCUGUUGAAAUAAAGGGAGAUGGACAUACUGUCCAAAUGGGGAAAAAUUGUCUAUGCCCUUUUGAGGUGUUCUUUAAGAAGGAACAGUUCCUCCCUGUUAGCCCACACUCCAAAUGUUAGAUAUAUAAAUAAAAACUGACUGUGUACUCCCUCAUCAGUUUUAUUUCAAGGUUUUUUUUCCCCUCCCUUUCAGAACAUUGGAUUUUUUAAGUUAUUUUUUCCAUAAUUGUUACCCAUAAAAAGUCUGGAGGAAAUUCAGUCAUUCCAAAACUAGAAAAGUGUCAAUAUUUGUUUGACAAAUUUGUUAUGGCUGCUUGGAAAUGCUAACAUAUCUCGGUUCCUAGGUCUACAGUCUGCUAUGCAACUGGAUAUUUCUUUGAGUUUAUUCUAGACCCCAGAAAUAAUUGGACCUUUAGGAACCUAAGGCUGAACUUUACCAGUGUCUUGAGAUAGUGUAGAAAUAAAUGGAACAGUUUCAGUAAGAUGCACAGGUAUCUUCUCAAAUUCUUUCCUUUUGAUGGACAUGUGCUUGUUAAACUACUGGCUUGCUUUAGUUUCAAGGACUUCUGUUUUUUAUUGCUCUUCCUACAAAUAACAAAGUUACUCAUGAGCAACCAAGUAUUCAUGGAUGUUUUUACUUAACAGGAGGCCUUUGCCUGCAUUCCUUUGGGGUAAGAAUUUGUACAAUAAUGACCACUUUAUUGAUUUGAAUGUAAAAAUAAAUAAAUAAAGUUCCAAUUCUUUCUCCAUCGAGUUGGAAUUCAGAUUUUUUUUUUGUUUGUUUAGUAUCUGUAUGGCAGUGUAACGUGUAUUACCUUCUGUAUUUUGUUAUUCUAUCAAUUAUUGUAUUUUGUUUUCAGAGGUGGUGGUACUUUGUAACUGUGCUAUGAUUCUUGGUUUUGACAGUUUAUUUUUUGCAAAGAGCAAAAGGAAACGUACAAAGCAGAGAAUAAAUAAAAAAUACCUUAAAUAAACCAGUUAUUUUAAAUAUAAGCUAGUUAAAUUCUUAGCCUAUGUGAUGUCCCUAACUACUCCUAAUGUUUCUUUAUCCAGUUGAUGCUGUGACAGAGAAAUGACAAGUCCCAAAGUGCUGGCAGAGUCUAACAGCAGAAGCCUUGUGCAAGUUUGGAAUAACUGGGUUUGUCCAGACUGCAAGGCAACAAGAGCUGACAGAUGAGCAUUACAGCAACUUUUCAUGCAUUUGAAAGCUUGCAAAAGGGUUGGUGAUUUUUGUGACUGUAGAAGGAAGAGUUGUUACUGUCUUCAAAGGCCAGAUGACUUAGUGGCAUUUUAGGAAAAGCUUUCUCACAAGUUUUGUUAGACGUUGGAACAGAUUGCCAAGAGACUCUAAUGGCUGACAAAGUUUAUAAAGUUACCUUAGUAUCCCUUUAGGGUGAGCCAUGUGACAAAGUGAAAGAAGUGAGCUCUGUCCAGUUCCAGUGGUUUUAUUUCAUAGAUGCUGUGGGGUUAAGUGACUUUCCCAUAAAUUAAUUCUUGGAACUGAUGUUUUCAAGGUGUUUGUGUGUAUGAACACUGGAAGGUGACAGUCAUGUUAGUAAAUGGGUUGAUGUAAACAAAGGCUGCUGCCAAAGAGGGAGGUGUCAUAGCUGCCCUUUUCAGGCUGGUUUUUAGUUCAGUGGGGUGACAAUUAUGCACAGCUUAGACAAGGCAAAUCUGUCCCUUUUGCAGCAGCAGCUGCUCAGUGUGACCAUGGAACAGGAGCUUAAGGCUCUGCAGCUGAGGGAUGGUCACUGGGGUGAGUGAUGCUACCUGUCCUGACCUAGGGCCUCAUUCAGGAAAGAGCAGGCUGAAAGAGCAACAUAAUGCAAGACAGCUAAAAGUCUUCUAUAGCAAGUUAUCCCCUUUUAUAUUGACUUUAAAUGGAAGUGUUAGUUAUUUUGUUCUGCCUGGUAGGCUUUAGCAAACAUGCAAAUUAAGCAACUCCAGUUUUCAACUUUGAAAAAAAUGAUAGCUGGAGAGAGGUAACCCACUAGUAAUGAAGUCAGACAGCAUAUGUGUUCUGCUCCAAGUGGGGCUUUACAUCCAGCUCUGCAUCAUUUGCAAAAUUUACCAGUGAUGGUGAGAAAAUAAGUAUAGAAUUCAAAAUAAUCACAGUAAAAUAUUAUCAGUGUCCCUCUGCUCUAGUGGUGAGAAAUUUGUACUGCCAGCAAGAAUCAUAUUUUGCAGGGGGGAGAAAGUCUAAAGGAGGUAGAAGAUACAGGAGAAAUCUCCCAUUUGUUAUUGGGUGUAUCAGAGAUGGAGUUCAUUUUCCCCACAGCAGCCCCCAGAGCUGUGCUGUGCAUUGGCAGCUGUCAAGGUGCCCAUAAAGACACCAGCGUUUUGGCUGCUGUGAGCAGCACUGGCACAGAACCAGCACUGUCACUCCAUCAUCUUCCCCUCACCAGGAAGGUGGGGGUGGGCAAAAUCUUGGGAGGGGAUAUAACCAGGCCGGCUGACCCACUAACCAAGGGAUAUUCCAUACCAUGUGGUGCCUGCUGAGAUACAGAAGCUAAGGAGAAGGAGGAGGGAGGGGGGAUGUUAUUUACAGUGUUUAUCGUCCGGAGCAACUGCUGUGUGUGCUGAAGCCCUGUGUCCUGGGAUGUGGCAAGGCAUCACUCACUGAUGGAAGUAUAUAAUAAAAUCUUUGGUUUUUUCCUUUGCUUGUGUGCA
Cinclus cinclus is the source of this 11579-nucleotide long non-coding RNA. RefSeq lists it as uncharacterized. The transcript is spliced from 2 exons. The record is from RefSeq and is a predicted model, not a curated record. Lineage: Eukaryota; Metazoa; Chordata; Aves; Passeriformes; Cinclidae.